RNAcentral lists this ribosomal RNA (253 nucleotides) under uncultured bacterium. RNAcentral's name for it is "partial 16S ribosomal RNA". It matches the Rfam family "Bacterial small subunit ribosomal RNA", at positions 524 to 776 of the family's 1533-position model. The record is from RNAcentral.
UACGAAGGGGGCUAGCGUUGUUCGGAAUUACUGGGCGUAAAGGGCUCGUAGGCGGCCAACUAAGUCAGACGUGAAAUCCCUCGGCUUAACCGGGGAACUGCAUCUGAUACUGGAUGGCUUGAGUUCGGGAGAGGGAUGCGGAAUUCCAGGUGUAGCGGUGAAAUGCGUAGAUAUCUGGAGGAACACCGGUGGCGAAGGCGGCAUCCUGGACCGACACUGACGCUGAGGAGCGAAAGCCAGGGGAGCAAACGGG